CGCAAGCCUGACGGAGCAAGACCGCGUGAGGGAGGAAUGCCUUAGGGUUGUAAACCCCUUUUAUCUGGGAAGAACAAAAUGACGGUACCAGAUGAAUAAGCCUCGGCUAACUCCGUGCCAGCAGCCGCGGUAAUACGGGGGAUGCAAGCGUUAUCCGGAAUUAUUGGGCGUAAAGCGUUCGUAGGCGGUUUUAUAAGUCUGCUGUCAAAGUGCGGAGCUCAACUCCGUAAGAGCAGUGGAAACUGUGAGACUUGAGUGUGGUAGGGGUAGAGGGAAUUCCCAGUGUAGCGGUGAAAUGCGUAGAUAUUGGGAAGAACACCAGUGGCGAAGGCGCUCUACUGGGCCACAACUGACGCUGAGGGACGAAAGCUAGGGGAGCG
This 380-nucleotide ribosomal RNA is filed under the name uncultured cyanobacterium. RNAcentral describes it as "bacterial SSU rRNA". It matches the Rfam family "Bacterial small subunit ribosomal RNA", at positions 376 to 770 of the family's 1533-position model. The record is from RNAcentral. Lineage: Bacteria; Bacillati; Cyanobacteriota.